RNAcentral lists this ribosomal RNA (624 nucleotides) under Triticum aestivum (bread wheat). RNAcentral describes it as "partial small subunit ribosomal RNA". Lineage: Eukaryota; Viridiplantae; Streptophyta; Magnoliopsida; Poales; Poaceae. The record is from RNAcentral.
AUGGACAGGCGGCAUGAGGCGUUGACCGGUCGGAGCGGCCGGGGGCGCUGUGCUGGCUCGAUGUCGCGGCGCCACGGACGGUUCAACCACGACGGCGACCAAGGCGCUCGGCCGGCCGCGGCGCCGGCGGUGGUCGACCACGCGGACUGCACGGCGCAGUCGUGCCGGUCGUGCGUGGCGGUGUCGCUGGCGGACUGCAUCGCGCUGGGCUGCUGCCCGUGCGCGGUGGUGAGCCUGCUGGGGCUGGCGCUCGUCAAGGCCCCGCUCGCCGUAGGCCGCCGCUGCGUGCAGCGGCUGCGCCGGCGGCAUGGGAAGCUGCAGCACAAGAAGCGCGUGCGCGACAUGGACCUCGCGGGCGGCCGCCCUGGCCCUAGCGCCGCUGGCGCCAAGUGUGCGGGCGGGGGCGGCCACCGGGAGCCUGGUCCCGGCGAGGCCGCGUCAAAAGGCGAGGACGACGUGGCGACGGCGGCGUAUCAGGGCGCGGCUGCGAGCGAGGAGGAAAGGGUGUGGCUGGAGAUGUACCAGGUGGGGCAGUGGGGGUUCGGCCGCUUGUCCUUCUCCGUGAACCCGCCUCCGAGGGCCGGCCGCAGCGCCGACGGCGACGGCUGCGAAAGCGACGUGUGA